AAUUACCAUUAGCAGUUGAAGUGGUAGGAAAUUUUUACAUAGGAGAGUAUGGUGAUCAUAUUUGCAUUUUAGAAAAUAAUGGAUAGCAGUUUGUUAGGGGAACAAAGGACAGAGACAGGGAGACUAUUUAAAACAUUAAUAAAAAAUACCAGUGACAGAUGAUGAGGCACCUACCUGAUGGGAAUGGAGAAGAGGAGAUGGAUUCAGAAACUACUUAGGAGAGGCAGGCAGUCCAAGGCUGAUGCCCAAAGAAGCCAUCAAGACCCGUGCUACUUCCAGCUCCUUCUGUCCUCAUAAUCAUAGAUGAUUGCUCCACAUCCAGAGUCUCGCUCAGUUUCCAGGCUGGAGUGUAAUGGCGUGAUCUUGGCUCACUGCAACCUCUGCCUCCCAGCUUCAAGUGAUUCCCCUGCUUUAGCCUCCCAAGCAGCUGGGACUACAGGCAUGCACCAGCAUGGCCGGCUAAUUUUUUUUUGUAUUUUAGUACAGAUGGGGUUUAACCAUGUUGGCCAGGAUGAUCUUGAUCUCCUGACCUCGUGAUCUGCCCACCUCGGCCUCCCAAAGUGCUAGGAUUACAGGCGUGAGCCACCUUGCCCGGCCUUCUAUUCCUUUUUCUAAUGCAUUUGCCCCAGCUAUCUGUAUAGCCUGCAAUCUGGUAGAUGGACCACAGGGAAACCACUGCAGCAAACUAAAAGUGUCUAUCUCAGAUCCUUCCACCACCAUCAUUUCCAAAAUCACCGUCACUAUCUCCACCACCAUCACCUUUACCACCAUCACCACUAUCAUCCUCAUCCUUCCCAUCACCAUCUCCACUGCUAUCUCUCAACACCAUCAUCAUCACCACCACCACCAUCAUCACCAUGAGCACCACCUCUGUCGUCAUCAAAAAAGCACACAGUUCAGGCUGGCCUGUUGGAGGAUAACAGAUCAUGUGGAGCAGAGACGAGCUGGCCCACCUCAGGCCCUACCAGAGCAAUCAGCUUGCCAAACACGACAUACAUCAGCGAGGCCAUCCUAGACCAUCCAGCCCUAGCUGAGCCAGCCCAGACCAGAGACUCAUGAGAAACAGUAAAAUGUUCAUCAUUUUAAGCCACUAGAUUUUGUGGUGGUUUGUUAUACACCAAAAGCUAACUGAUACAGGGACCA
Molecule: long non-coding RNA, 1143 nt
Filed under: Homo sapiens (human)
Lineage: Eukaryota; Metazoa; Chordata; Mammalia; Primates; Hominidae
Description: uncharacterized LOC105374780, transcript variant 2 (LOC105374780)
Source: RNAcentral